CCUACGGGAGGCAGCAGUGGGGAAUAUUGGGCAAUGGAGGCAACUCUGACCCAGCAACGCCGCUUGAGCGAUGAAGGUCUUCGGAUUGUAAAGCUCUUUAAGAGGGGACGAAGAAAGUGACUGUACCCGCAGAAUAAGCCUCGGCUAACUACGUGACAGCAGCCGCGGUAAUACGUAGGAGGCAAGCGUUAUCCGGAAUGACUGGGCGUAAAGGGUGCGUAGGUGGUUUGGCAAGUUGGUAGCAAAAUCGGGGGCCUCAACCUCGGUGCUAUUACCAAAACUGUUGAAUUUGAGUGCGGGAGGGGUAAAUGGAAGUCCCAGUGUAGGAGUGGAAUGCGUAGAUAUUGGGAAGAACACCGGCGGCGAAGGCGAUUCACUGGACUGUAUCUGACACUGAGGCACGAAAGCGUAGGGAGCAAACAGGAUUAGAUACCCCAGUAGUC
RNAcentral lists this ribosomal RNA (443 nucleotides) under uncultured bacterium. RNAcentral describes it as "partial 16S ribosomal RNA". It matches the Rfam family "Bacterial small subunit ribosomal RNA", at positions 338 to 795 of the family's 1533-position model. The record is from RNAcentral.